GGCCCUCCUCCAUCGGGCCUCCUUACGGCCCGGAGGCCCUCGCUCUCCUUACCCGCCAGGGUGAGAACCAAGUCUGCGCGCUUCCAGAGGUUCGCCGGGUACGGAUUAGGGGCAAGGAAGGGGAAGGAGUUUCCAGAGAUCGUCCGCAGGGCCGCUCGGUCCGGAAAGCCCGAGCCACGGCCGUACAAACCGCCAAAGCACUUUCGCUACCUCUUGAGAGGGUGAGAGCGAGCGAGGAAAAAGAAGCAAGAUGGCGGCUAGCCAGCCCCUACGUGCUACGUCAUGACGCUGCGUACGUAUAGCAAAUCUCCGCAGGACCGCCCUCCUGGGUUGAGGCUGCGAGAUCACGUGACAGCCUCUGGCCCACGGCGGAGGGUAACGCUACCUCCUACUGGAAGGAGGGAGUUCCGUCAAUCAGAGCGAUCUCAGGGAGACAAAGCUUUUCACCUGCGAAGAUUCCAGAAGUCUUAAAUCAUCCAGAAUUACGUCUUGGUUUGUCUCCGUGCAUUGACACAACUGAUUGGAGGAGCAUAUAAAUUUACAAACUGCGCUUUGACAGAAUGUUCUUAAGUAGAGAGCAAAGUGAGGGUACAGUGUGGCAAUUUGAGAAGAUUGAAGUUUCAGAGUGAAAAAAGUAAUCCAAGUGUUAGGAACAAAGGGACCGGCAUGCUUUGCUGAGUCUAUCUUUGGCGUUUGUAAUUUUGGUGUAAAAUAAGGCACUGUUUAUUACUGACUUCUCAGGCAAAGUUUACCUCUUGAACCAACUACUUAACAGAGAAAACUAACAGUUACGAUUCACUCAUGCAGAUGUUUACUAGCACUUGGAUGGCCACCUGCCCUGAAGUGCCCCUGUGUGUUCCUUCCUCUGUUUCCAUAGCUACCUCUUAGCAAUGUUCUUUCAAUGAAAAUCAAAUCACAGUGGAGUCAGGUCAGUUUGUGCUUUAAAGAAAGCUGUAGGUACAACAAGUGUUUGAGACAUCAGGUUACAAAUAAAGCAAUCAGCGGAGCCGAGAGUGGUGGUACACCUCUUCCAUCCAAGCACCCUGCAGGCAGAGUCAGAUGCUGCAAGUCUGUAAAUGAAGACAAGAACAAUAUCGUCAUUGCUUCAAGGAAACACCUUUGGAGCUGGAGAGAUGACUCAUGGGUUCCUGCUCACUUCCAGUGACCCCAAGUUAUGUUUCUAGCACCCACACCAGACAACUCACACACCUUCGCAUGAUAUCCUAGGGAUCCUCUCUCUUGUGGACCAAGAGUGCCCAGAGCACAUGUGGCACAUUUGUGCAUACAUAUGCUCACACAUACACGUUCACACACAAACAUGCUCACACACACAAUAAGACACAGUGCAAAAAAGAAGCUGCCUUCUCAUACAUCUUAUGUGAAACAUUACAAUAUAUAUUUAACAUAUAAAUGUUUGCAAUUAUAUGUAAAGUAACAUAAUAUUUUUAUUUGCCAACCUAUUAUUAAUUAGCUAAAAAAACUUUAUAAUUGAAUAAAAGAUACAUUUUGGCUAAA
This is a non-coding RNA of Rattus norvegicus (Norway rat), 1515 nucleotides long. NCBI's taxonomy places the organism in Eukaryota, Metazoa, Chordata, Mammalia, Rodentia, Muridae. The record is from RefSeq and is a predicted model, not a curated record.